ACAGUGAGGAUGUUGGCUUAGAGGCAGCCAUCAUUUAAACAGUGCGUAAUAGCUGACUCAUCGAGUGAUGUCGCGCCGAAAAUGAUUGGCGAUAAGUGGCAUGCCGAAGCCGCGGGAUCCAGAGCGGUUCGCCGCGCUGGAUCGGUAGGGGAGCGUAAUCGUGACGGUGAAGAUUGUCUGGAAGGACUUUUGGAGUCGCGAUUAGUGAGAAUGCAGACACGAGUAGCGAUAAACCAGAUGAGAAUUCUGGUCGCCGUAAACCCAAGGUUUCCUGGGCCAGGUUCGUCCUCCCAGGGUCAGUCGGGAGCUAAGAUGAGGUCGUAAGACGUAAUCGAUGCACAGCUGGUCAACAUUCCAGCACCGAUGUGGUUCAAACCGACAGUGACGCAAGGAGAAACGUGGCAAGGUCAUUGAAAGACCUAGCUUAGGGGCAACCCGAAGCAAGUCACCGGACAACUUGUCUAGAAAAGCUGUCGGCCCUUUACCACAUUGCCCGUACCGCAAACCGACACAGGUGGGUGGGUGUAAAUGCACCAAGGCGCGCGAGAGAGACCUCUCUAAGGAACUCGGCACAUUAGCCCCGUAACUUCGGGAAAAGGGGUGCUCGCUUCGGCGAGCCACAGUAAAUUGCGUUUAGCGACUGUUUAACAAAAACACAGCACUCUGCCACGUCGUUAAGACAACGUAUAGGGUGUGACAAGUGACCAAUGCGGAAAGAUCAAGGCAAGUUGUUAGCCGCAAGGCGAAGCUCCGAACCUAAGUCCCCGUGAAUGUCGGCCGUAACUAUAACGGUCCUAAGGUAGCGAAAUUCCUUGUCGGGUAAGUUCCGACCUGCACGAAUCUUGUAACGACUGAACGACUGUCUCGGAGAGGUUCUCGGCGAAACUGUAAUGGCGGUGAAGAUGCCGCCUGCCCGCAGUAGGACGGAAAGACCCUAUGCACCUUUACUGUAAGCUCGUAUUGGCUUCUGAUUGAUGAUGCUUAGCGUAGGUGGGAGACUUUGAAGGCACGGUUUCGGUUGUGCUGGAGUCGAAAUGUGAAACACCACUCUUUGUCAAUUAGGAGUCUAACCCCGAUCCCGUUAGCCGGGCGGGGGACAGUGCGUGCGGGUCAGUUUGGCUGGGGCGGCUUCCUCCCAAAUGGUAACGGAGGAGCGCGAAGCUUGGCUCAGCAUGGUUGGCAACCAUGCGUCGAGGGUAUGGCUAGAAGCCAGGUUGACUGCGAGACCAACAAGUCGAGCAGGUGCGAAAGCAGGCCCAAAUGAUCCGAUGGUUGAAUGUGGAAUUGCCAUCGCUCAACGGACAAAAGGUACGCUAGGGAUAACAGGCUGAUCGGGACCAAGAGUUCACAUCGACGUCCCGGUUUGGCACCUCGAUGUCGGCUCAUCGCAUCCUGGGGCUGGAGAAGGUCCCAAGGGUCCGGCUGUUCGCCGGUUAAAGCGGUACGCGAGCUGGGUUCAGAACGUCGUGAGACAGUUCGGUCCUUAUCCACUGUGGGCGGAGGAAACUUGAGGGGUUCAUUCCUUAGUACGAGAGGACCGGGAAUGACGCACUUCUGGUGUGGCAGUUGUCGUGUCAACGGCAUCGCUGCGUAGCCACGUGCGGAAGGGAUAAGCGCUGAAAGCAUCUAAGUGCCAAGCUCAUCCCAAGAUAUGGUUUCCCGGGGCGUUAGCCCCCUGAAGACCCCUGGCAGACUACCAGGUUGAUAGGCUGGGCGUGUACAUGCCGCGAGGCAUUCAGCGGACCAGUACUAAUCGGUCGUGCGGCUUGAUUGC
This 1774-nucleotide ribosomal RNA is filed under the name marine metagenome. Its description in RNAcentral is "bacterial LSU rRNA". It matches the Rfam family "Bacterial large subunit ribosomal RNA", at positions 1089 to 2925 of the family's 2925-position model. The record is from RNAcentral.